This 444-nucleotide ribosomal RNA is filed under the name uncultured bacterium. Its description in RNAcentral is "SSU rRNA". It matches the Rfam family "Bacterial small subunit ribosomal RNA", at positions 26 to 518 of the family's 1533-position model. The record is from RNAcentral.
AGAACGAACGCUGGCGGCAGGCUUAACACAUGCAAGUCGAGCGCCCCGCAAGGGGAGCGGCAGACGGGUGAGUAACGCGUGGGAACAUACCCUCCGGUUCGGAAUAGCUCAGGGAAACUUGGAUUAAUACCGGAUACGGUCGAGAGGCGAAAGAUUUAUCGCCGGAGGAUUGGCCCGCGUUCGAUUAGCUAGUUGGUGAGGUAACGGCUCACCAAGGCGACGAUCGAUAGCUGGUCUGAGAGGAUGAUCAGCCACAUUGGGACUGAGACACGGCCCAAACUCCUACGGGAGGCAGCAGUGGGGAAUAUUGGACAAUGGGCGCAAGCCUGAUCCAGCCAUGCCGCGUGAGUGAUGACGGUCCUUAGGGUUGUAAAGCUCUUUCGCUAGGGACGAUAAUGACGGUACCUAGACAAGAAGCCCGGCUAACUUCGCGCCAGCAGCCGC